Cololabis saira (Pacific saury) is the source of this 1094-nucleotide long non-coding RNA. RefSeq lists it as uncharacterized. The record is from RefSeq and is a predicted model, not a curated record. The transcript has 3 exons. NCBI's taxonomy places the organism in Eukaryota, Metazoa, Chordata, Actinopteri, Beloniformes, Belonidae.
GAAUGUAGCUGCAUUAUUUGAGUCAAAAAUAAAAUUGAUAAUAUAUAAUCCGAAUUGCAUUUUAAUUUUAUUCUUUACGCUGCACAUUUUAUGUCAUAAUCAAAAAGAAAACAAAGAAGACAUUGCUUUUUCUUUUUCAUGCUCUGCCCGCAAAAAAGUGUACAAUAUUCAAAAUGAAUUCGCAAUCCCAGCGGCGCAGGAGAGUGACGUCACGGCUUCUCCUGUUCUCCAGCUGCAGCCCAGAAACCCUGGAAAAUGCUCACGUUUUUUAAGGUGACAUCGUAUUUUGCCGAUUUCCCAAAGUCUGUUAGAAAAGGUCUGAUUUCCUACAACUCUAACAGAGUUCUAGAUGUCAACAUGAGACACAGACAGCAGCGUUUCUCUACACGGAGCGCUGGUGCCGGGCUGACUCCUCCUAUUCAGACACGUGUGUUUGUUUACAACCUAUGGAGCACGAAAUGCAAAGAGGAGCAACGUCGACCGACAAGCUUUGUACAUAGACGAGUUGCAUCAAGUCCAGGCAAGGGACACGCAGAAAUUCUACCCCUGUCGUUGUCCAGCGUGACAGUCUGACCGUCAACGCAUGCAUUUCCUGAAAAUGACUGCUGAGGAGCAGCAUGAGUCUCCAGAUGAGGAGGAGAUCAAUUAUUUGAGAAAAACAAUGUAAGUGAAUGUUUGUGAGUCUUUUUGUCUUGUUUUGUUUUACUCGUGUGUAAUUGGCAAAGUAUUCAAGGCACUUGCAAUGUCAAUGUCAAUGUCAAUGUCAAUUUUAUUUAUAAAGCACAUUUAAAAACGACCGAGGUCGACCAAAGUGCUGUACAGCAUACAAGAAAAUAAAACAAUACCAAAAGAAAAACACAGUACACAGUGUAGAAACAAUAAAAUCACUAACAUACUAAAAUGAUCAAUAAAAUAGUAAUAAAAAACAUAACAGUACACAUACAGUGCACAAUCACUUCACACAGAUGUGGGGAACUAAGUUGUCACACACUAAAAGCCAAAGAAAAUAAAUAAGUUUUCAAAGAAGACUUAAAAACCACUAGGGUCUGGGCAGAUCUAACAUUUAGUGGCAAACUAUUCCACAGCUUAGGGCC